Molecule: ribosomal RNA, 496 nt
Filed under: uncultured bacterium
Lineage: Bacteria
Description: partial 16S ribosomal RNA
Rfam family: Bacterial small subunit ribosomal RNA
Source: RNAcentral
GAUGAACGCUGGCGGCGUGCCUAAUACAUGCAAGUCGAGCGAACAGACGAGGAGCUUGCUCCUCUGACGUUAGCGGCGGACGGGUGAGUAACACGUGGAUAACCUACCUAUAAGACUGGGAUAACUUCGGGAAACCGGAGCUAAUACCGGAUAAUAUAUUGAACCGCAUGGUUCAAUAGUGAAAGACGGUUUUGCUGUCACUUAUAGAUGGAUCCGCGCCGCAUUAGCUAGUUGGUAAGGUAACGGCUUACCAAGGCAACGAUGCGUAGCCGACCUGAGAGGGUGAUCGGCCACACUGGAACUGAGACACGGUCCAGACUCCGACGGGAGGCAGCAGUAGGGAAUCUUCCGCAAUGGGCGAAAGCCUGACGGAGCAACGCCGCGUGAGUGAUGAAGGUCUUCGGAUCGUAAAACGCUGUUAUUAGGGAAGAACAAAUGUGUAAGUAACGAUGCACGUCUUGACGGUACCUAAGCAGAAAGCCACGGCUAACUACGU